Bubalus bubalis (water buffalo) is the source of this 325-nucleotide long non-coding RNA. RefSeq lists it as uncharacterized. Lineage: Eukaryota; Metazoa; Chordata; Mammalia; Artiodactyla; Bovidae. The record is from RefSeq and is a predicted model, not a curated record. The transcript is spliced from 3 exons.
GGUAUUCCUGCUCAAGGGACCCUCCUGAGCAUUCUCUCAAGUCAGCCUAGAACAAUCACUGUGACCGCAUGCUUGGUUGAUCCUACCUUCUAGCAGACCAGCAGCUGCCCCCCAGGAAGAUCCACUCAGCUCUUUUUCAUCCUGCUGAGGGCUUUAGGAGACUAACCUUUAUGGACUGCACUAACCACCCACUGGCAGUUGUGCUGGGUCAGUGAGAAACACCCCAGGAAAUCAGAGGGCUGGGUGAGAGUGUACUCACUGAAGACAGGCUGUGGAGGAGGGGCCUGCCCAGGAGGAGAGUCCAGAUCCAAUGGGAAGAGAGGGG